This 621-nucleotide unclassified non-coding RNA is filed under the name Talaromyces trachyspermus. RNAcentral's name for it is "sequence contains 18S rRNA gene, ITS1, 5.8S rRNA gene, ITS2, 28S rRNA gene". The stretch from base 98 to 384 matches the Rfam family "Group I catalytic intron". Lineage: Eukaryota; Fungi; Ascomycota; Eurotiomycetes; Eurotiales; Trichocomaceae. The record is from RNAcentral.
GAACAAUGAUUCCUUCCGCAGUGUACGCUUAUCGAAGCCUUUGCAGCCACGCAAGUGGUAGGUCCAGACGACUGUAAACAAGCUGGUACCGGUGCAAGUCGCGCCUCCCGUCUUGGGAGGUGUUGGCGACACUUUUGAAUUGCGGGGAUACCCUAAAGCCGAUCGCACCAACCUGCACGGGAAACUGCGCUGGGGCCCAUGGACACACCAUGGGGGAUGGUAACAGCCGAUUCGGAUAGUUCUGCCUUAGGCAGAUACAAUGGGCAAUCCGCAGCGAAGCCCCUAAAUCCUUUGGGACACGGGGAACGUUCACAGACUAAGUGGAAGUGGGUGGGGUUCUCAAUCCUGCUUAAGAUAUAGUCGGGCUCCCCGGGAGACUGGGGAGGCAAGUACACUGUACUGGGGGUUUCUACUGAGAGACAUCGUGGGAGUUGGGCACACUGAGUCAUGUGAUGUAGAUAUAUAUAUCCUAUGAUAUUGGUAUGCUAUUCUUCCCACAGCGCUAUACAGCAGUCACACCGGCGCCCAUGCAGCAAUGCACAGGGGCCAUUCGAUUCCAACAGGAAUCGGCGAAAGUCAUCGUCCGACCAUGAUGGGUGCCCAAAGGCGCCCACAGACCAC